UGAACAAUCUGCUGCAGCAGGGCAACCACCGACAGCCUCGGGGGCAACGCGACGGAGAGCGCUGGUAGCAGUGUGGCGGCCAGAGCUUCUCCGCGUGCCCACGGGGCGGGCGGUGGACAGAGCAGCGCGGGCGGCGACAGGCGGGGCGGCGGCGCAUCGUUGAGUUCUAGUUAGGAGCGUUCGUGUGUGUGUCGUGCAGCAUGGCGUAGUGGCCAGGACCUACAAGUGCAAGCAGAUCGGCAGCCAUGACGUGAGUGUGAGUAUGUGUUGCGGUGUGCGGCCAGGUGCCUGGUUGAGACAUGGCGAUUGCUUAGGAGAAAAUCAGCAGAUGCAUGUGUUUGUUAGUCUGAUCAGCAUGCAGGCACACGUUGGCUUGGAGUUGUGGCCAAAUCUAAGUGAACGAGUCAUGGCGAGAAAAGUGGAUCAGAUAGCUCAUGCAUGGAGUCGUUAGUGGUGAUCGUGCGGCCAGACGUGGCUCAACCAGUGCCAGUGUGUGCUUG
RNAcentral lists this long non-coding RNA (500 nucleotides) under Setaria italica (foxtail millet). RNAcentral's name for it is "long non-coding RNA (SITA_LNC001808)". The record is from RNAcentral. Lineage: Eukaryota; Viridiplantae; Streptophyta; Magnoliopsida; Poales; Poaceae.